Molecule: ribosomal RNA, 43 nt
Filed under: Laccaria canaliculata
Lineage: Eukaryota; Fungi; Basidiomycota; Agaricomycetes; Agaricales; Hydnangiaceae
Also listed under: 2 other names
Description: partial 18S ribosomal RNA
Rfam family: Eukaryotic small subunit ribosomal RNA
Source: RNAcentral
UAACAAGGUUUCCGUAGGUGAACCUGCGGAAGGAUCAUUAUUG